Molecule: RNase P RNA, 336 nt
Filed under: human oral metagenome
Description: Bacterial RNase P class A
Rfam family: Bacterial RNase P class A
About the family: Ribonuclease P (RNase P) is a ubiquitous endoribonuclease, found in archaea, bacteria and eukarya as well as chloroplasts and mitochondria. Its best characterised activity is the generation of mature 5'-ends of tRNAs by cleaving the 5'-leader elements of precursor-tRNAs.
Source: RNAcentral
AGUCAGACAAUCGCAGGCAGAAAUGCGUGAGGAAAGUCCGGGCUCCAUAGAGCGAGAGUGCCAGAUAACGUCUGGCGUAGGUAACUAUAGGGAAAGUGCAACAGAAACAUUCCGCCGAAACAGUUAGGCUGUGGUAAGGUUGAAAUGGUGAGGUAAGAGCUCACCGGCGUUUUGGAAACAAAGCGGCCGUGUAAACCCCACUCGGAGCAAGACCAAAUAAGGAUGUAAGGGUAGCUGCUCGUUAUCCCCUGGAAGGUAGGUCGCUUGAGCAUAGCAGCGAUGUUAUGCCUAGAUAGAUGAUUGUCAAAUACAGAACCCGGCUUAUAGACUUGCCCA